UCCUACGGGAGGCAGCAGUGGGGAAUAUUGGACAAUGGGGGGAACCCUGAUCCAGCCAUGCCGCGUGUGUGAAGAAGGCCUUUUGGUUGUAAAGCACUUUAAGCGAGGAGGAGGCUACCGAGAUUAAUACUCUUGGAUAGUGGACGUUACUCGCAGAAUAAGCACCGGCUAACUCUGUGCCAGCAGCCGCGGUAAUACAGAGGGUGCAAGCGUUAAUCGGAUUUACUGGGCGUAAAGCGUGCGUAGGUGGCCAAUUAAGUCAAAUGUGAAAUCCCCGAGCUUAACUUGGGAAUUGCAUUCGAUACUGGUUGGCUAGAGUAUGGGGGAGGAUGGUAGAAUUCCAGGUGUAGCGGUGAAAUGCGUAGAGAUCUGGAGGAAUACCGAUGGCGAAGGCAGCCAUCUGGCCUAAUACUGACACUGAGGUACGAAAGCAUGGGGAGCAAACAGGAUUAGAUACCCUGGUAGUCC
Molecule: ribosomal RNA, 468 nt
Filed under: uncultured bacterium
Lineage: Bacteria
Description: bacterial SSU rRNA
Rfam family: Bacterial small subunit ribosomal RNA
Source: RNAcentral